CUCAUGGCGGGGUGGAGAAACCGAAGGUGGCUUGACGUUGUAGAUAGUGUAUGUGAUAUGUAUUGUGUUAUCAAAAGGGUGCGUUGGUUGUCAAAGGUUGGAGUUGGGACUAUGUAGAUGGUGAAUGAUGAGAUUGUUUAUUUGAGAUUGCCAAUUUUCAGAUUUAGGAGCCCUCCUCUUUUCAUUUGCUUUAUGCCUUGUAUUUAUAGUUGAGUAUGUGAAGCCUUGAAAGUCAGUGAUAUGCCAUGACUUUUGCUUUCCUGGUUAUUCUUUCCAACUGUCCCUAAUUGCUACUAUUGAUGCUAAUCUUAAAUUUUGAAGUGUAACUGCCCUUUUUUUGGAAUCCCUUGUAUUUCUCAGCUGGUGUAUAUUCCAGAUUGUGUUUAAUAAGGCAUAACUGUCUGAUUUGCAUUUUUUAGAGGCUUUUGGUUUGUUUAGCCCCCUCCCUUUUAAUUAUUCAACCACUCAUUAAAAAUUGCUCCUCAUUGUUGAUUAUUGCCUCUUCAAAUUAUUUAUGCUUGUCAAUGCUCUUUAAGCAUAAGAAACUGAAAGGCUUUUGGUUAACUUCUCUGGCUGACUAAUUUUAUACUCUUGGCUGCUUGUAGUUCUCAUACGAAUCCUCAAGAAGAGUCUUGCCAUAUCACCAUAUGCAAUGAAACUUAGUUCAUCUAAUGCUCCUCCAACAACAUUCUGGAACCAUAUAUUCCGCCACCAUUGAUGUCAUUGAUAAUGUGCAAGUGUAGUAUUGGAAAGAGGCAAGUGUGGUGGCUUGAAGCUCUUGAAGCAUAUAAGUUGUUCUACCUUUUGAAUAAAACAAUCAUGAAAGUAGAGCCGAAUAAGACUUUCUUUAU
Lupinus albus (white lupine) is the source of this 851-nucleotide non-coding RNA. NCBI's taxonomy places the organism in Eukaryota, Viridiplantae, Streptophyta, Magnoliopsida, Fabales, Fabaceae. The record is from the annotation of a GenBank genome assembly.